This 458-nucleotide long non-coding RNA is filed under the name Ananas comosus (pineapple). RNAcentral's name for it is "long non-coding RNA (ACOM_LNC022702)". The record is from RNAcentral. Lineage: Eukaryota; Viridiplantae; Streptophyta; Magnoliopsida; Poales; Bromeliaceae.
AUCCGAAUCCGAACUCGAAAAUCAAAUUAAAACUCGUACCCGGACCAGAACCCGGCGGGUUUUAAAAAUCUAUACCCAUAUCCGUACCCGACCAAAAACUCGAAACCCGAACCCGAACCCGGACCCAGCCGGUUUUAAAAAUCUACACCAUUAAAUGAAGAUCUAAGGGAUAAAAAUUAUUAAAUAUUUUAUAUAUUAUAUAAAUAAAUAAAAAUAAAGUAUGUAUAUAUAUAAUUUAUUCGGGUUUGGGUUCGGGUUCAGGUCGUGUUUGGGUUCGGGUCGGGUAAUUACAAAAUCCAUACCCGUAUCCAUAUCCGUCGGGUUUUUAUUUUCUAUACCCAUAACUAAAUUCAUACCCGUUUAGUUCGGAUAAAUCCGCCCCAUUCGAAUUCGGGUUCGGAUAAUAUUUCGAAUAUCCACGUCCAUUGACAUUUCUAGAUGGAUCCCCUCUCAUGGGA